This 446-nucleotide ribosomal RNA is filed under the name uncultured bacterium. RNAcentral's name for it is "partial 16S ribosomal RNA". It matches the Rfam family "Bacterial small subunit ribosomal RNA", at positions 338 to 795 of the family's 1533-position model. The record is from RNAcentral.
CCUACGGGUGGCAGCAGUCGAGAAUCUUUCACAAUGGGGGAAACCCUGAUGGUGCGACGCAGCGUGGGGGAAUGAAGGUCUUCGGAUUGUAAACCCCUGUCAUGUGGGAGCAAAUUAAAAAGAUAGUACCACAAGAGGAAGAGACGGCUAACUCUGUGCCAGCAGCCGCGGUAAUACAGAGGUCUCAAGCGUUGUUCGGAAUCAUUGGGCGUAAGGCGUGCGUAGGCUGUUUCGUAAGUCGUGUGUGAAAGGCGCGGGCUCAACCCGCGGAUGGCACAUGAUACUGGGAGACUAGAGUAAUGGAGGGGGAACCGGAAUUCGCGGUGUAGCAGUGAAAUGCGUAGAUAUCGAGAGGAACACUCGUGGCGAAGGCGGGUUCCUGGACAGUAACUGACGCUGAGGCACGAAGGCCAGGGGAGCGAAAGGGAUUAGAUACCCGAGUAGUC